AACGAACGCUGGCGGCAGGCUUAACACAUGCAAGUCGAACGCCCCGCCAGGGGAGUGGCAGACGGGUGCGUAACGCGUGGGAACAUACCCUUUUCUACGGAAUAGCUCUGGGAAACUGGAAUUAAUACCGUAUACGCCCUACGGGGGAAAGAUUUAUCGGGGAAGGAUUGGCCCGCGUUGGAUUAGCUAGUUGGUGGGGUAAAGGCCUACCAAGGCGACGAUCCAUAGCUGGUCUGAGAGGAUGAUCAGCCACAUUGGGACUGAGACACGGCCCAAACUCCGACGAAGGGCGGAAGGGGGGAAUAGUGGAAAAGGGGCGCAAGCGUGACCCAGCCGGGCCGGGUGAGUGAUGGAGGCUUUGGGGUUGUAAAGCUCUUUCACCGAUGAAGAAAAGGGCGGUGGGGGGAGAAGAGCCCCCGGCUAAUCUCG
Molecule: ribosomal RNA, 429 nt
Filed under: uncultured bacterium
Lineage: Bacteria
Description: partial 16S ribosomal RNA
Rfam family: Bacterial small subunit ribosomal RNA
Source: RNAcentral